Molecule: ribosomal RNA, 734 nt
Filed under: uncultured Staphylococcus sp.
Lineage: Bacteria; Bacillati; Bacillota; Bacilli; Caryophanales; Staphylococcaceae
Description: bacterial SSU rRNA
Rfam family: Bacterial small subunit ribosomal RNA
Source: RNAcentral
CGAGCGAACGGACGAGAAGCUUGCUUCUCUGAUGUUAGCGGCGGACGGGUGAGUAACACGUGGAUAACCUACCUAUAAGACUGGGAUAACUUCGGGAAACCGGAGCUAAUACCGGAUAAUAUUUUGAACCGCAUGGUUCAAAAGUGAAAGACGGUCUUGCUGUCACUUAUAGAUGGAUCCGCGCUGCAUUAGCUAGUUGGUAAGGUAACGGCUUACCAAGGCAACGAUGCAUAGCCGACCUGAGAGGGUGAUCGGCCACACUGGAACUGAGACACGGUCCAGACUCCUACGGGAGGCAGCAGUAGGGAAUCUUCCGCAAUGGGCGAAAGCCUGACGGAGCAACGCCGCGUGAGUGAUGAAGGUCUUCGGAUCGUAAAACUCUGUUAUUAGGGAAGAACAUAUGUGUAAGUAACUGUGCACAUCUUGACGGUACCUAAUCAGAAAGCCACGGCUAACUACGUGCCAGCAGCCGCGGUAAUACGUAGGUGGCAAGCGUUAUCCGGAAUUAUUGGGCGUAAAGCGCGCGUAGGCGGUUUUUUAAGUCUGAUGUGAAAGCCCACGGCUCAACCGUGGAGGGUCAUUGGAAACUGGAAAACUUGAGUGCAGAAGAGGAAAGUGGAAUUCCAUGUGUAGCGGUGAAAUGCGCAGAGAUAUGGAGGAACACCAGUGGCGAAGGCGACUUUCUGGUCUGUAACUGACGCUGAUGUGCGAAAGCGUGGGGAUCAAACAGGAUU